Molecule: transfer RNA, 73 nt
Filed under: Endomicrobium sp.
Lineage: Bacteria; Pseudomonadati; Elusimicrobiota; Endomicrobiia; Endomicrobiales; Endomicrobiaceae
Description: tRNA-Thr
Rfam family: tRNA
About the family: Transfer RNA (tRNA) molecules are approximately 80 nucleotides in length.
Source: RNAcentral
GCCGAUGUAGCUCAGUUGGUAGAGCAGCGGUUUUGUAAACCGCAGGUCGUAGGUUCGAAUCCUAUCGUCGGCU